Molecule: ribosomal RNA, 280 nt
Filed under: uncultured bacterium
Lineage: Bacteria
Description: partial 16S ribosomal RNA
Rfam family: Bacterial small subunit ribosomal RNA
Source: RNAcentral
GACGAACGCUGGCGGCGUGCUUAACACAUGCAAGUCGAGCGGUAAGGCCCUUUCGGGGGUACGACGAGCGGCGAACGGGUGAGUAACACGUGGGUGACCUGCCCUUACGCUCUGGGAUAAGCCUGGGAAACUGGGUCUAAUACCGGAUAUGACUCCAUAACGCAUGUUGUGGGGGUGGAAAGCCUUGUGCGGCUAGGGAUGGGCCCGCGGCCUAUCAGCUUGUUGGUGGGGUGAUGGCCACCAAGGCGACGACGGGUAGCCGGCCUGAGAGGGCGACCGG